RNAcentral lists this ribosomal RNA (387 nucleotides) under Triticum aestivum (bread wheat). RNAcentral's name for it is "partial small subunit ribosomal RNA". The record is from RNAcentral. Lineage: Eukaryota; Viridiplantae; Streptophyta; Magnoliopsida; Poales; Poaceae.
UCGGACUUCGCCGACCACCACCACCACCAGGGGCAGUACCACGACGUCCACGGCCUCAAGGAGCUGGAGGAGAACUGCCCGGCCGUGCGCUUCGACGAGCUCUCCAUAUCCAACGCCGGCACCAGCGCCGGGACGCCCAUCCUCCCAGAGGGAUGCGUGGUGUGCCUCAGUGACUUCCACGGUGCGGCGCGUGUGCGCCGGCCGCGGGGGUGCCAGCACGUCUUCCACUUUGGCUGCCUCGACCGCUGGGUCGCUCACGGCCACCGCACCUGCCCGCUCUGCCGGGCUCCGUUCCUCCUGAUCGUGCCGCCCCCGGCCGGCGUCAUGAUUCCCACGGGGACUUGUUUGCAUAAUUUGGCGACUGUCCUCCUGGAUGACAAGCUCUGA